ACGGGAGGCAGCAGUAGGGAAUCUUCCACAAUGGGCGAAAGCCUGAUGGAGCAAUGCCGCGUGAGUGAAGAAGGUUUUCGGAUCGUAAAACUCUGUUGUUGAAGAAGAACAUGCGUGAGAGUAACUGUUCACGUACUGACGGUAUUCAACCAGAAAGCCACGGCUAACUACGUGCCAGCAGCCGCGGUAAUACGUAGGUGGCAAGCGUUGUCCGGAUUUAUUGGGCGUAAAGAGAAUGUAGGCGGUUUAUUAAGUUUGAAGUGAAAGCCCUCGGCUCAACCGAGGAAGUGCUUCGAAAACUGGUAAACUUGAGUGCAGAAGAGGAAAGUGGAACUCCAUGUGUAGCGGUGGAAUGCGUAGAUAUAUGGAAGAACACCAGUGGCGAAGGCGGCUUUCUGGUCUGUAACUGACGCUGAGAUUCGAAAGCAUGGGUAGCAAACAGGAUUAGAUACCCUGGUAGUCCAUGCCGUAAACGAUGAGUGCUAAGUGUUGGAGGGUUUCCGCCCUUCAGUGCUGCAGCUAACGCAUUAAGCACUCCGCCUGGGGAGUACGACCGCAAGGUUGAAACUCAAAGGAAUUGACGGGGGCCCGCACAAGCGGUGGAGCAUGUGGUUUAAUUCGAAGCAACGCGAAGAACCUUACCAGGUCUUGACAUACCAUGAAAAGCUAAGAGAUUAGUCUUUCCCUUCGGGGACAUGGAUACAGGUGGUGCAUGGUUGUCGUCAGCUCGUGUCGUGAGAUGUUGGGUUAAGUCCCGCAACGAGCGCAACCCUUAUUAUCAGUUGCCAGCAUUCAGUUGGGCACUCUGGUGAGACUGCCGGUGACAAACCGGAGGAAGGUGGGGACGACGUCAAAUCAUCAUGCCCCUUAUGACCUGGGCUACACACGUGCUACAAUGGUCGGUACAACGUGUUGCGAACUCGCGAGGGCAAGCAAAUCACUUAAAACCGAUCUCAGUUCGGAUUGCAGGCUGCAACUCGCCUGCAUGAAGCUGGAAUCGCUAGUAAUCGCGGAUCAGCAUGCCGCGGUGAAUACGUUCCCGGGCCUUGUACACACCGCCCGUCACACCAUGAGAGUUUGUAACACCCAAAGUCGGUGGGGUAACCCUUCGGGGAACUAGCC
Molecule: ribosomal RNA, 1122 nt
Filed under: Companilactobacillus farciminis
Lineage: Bacteria; Bacillati; Bacillota; Bacilli; Lactobacillales; Lactobacillaceae
Description: bacterial SSU rRNA
Rfam family: Bacterial small subunit ribosomal RNA
Source: RNAcentral